UUAAAUUGAAGAGUUUGAUCAUGGCUCAGAUUGAACGCUGGCGGCAGGCCUAACACAUGCAAGUCGAACGGUAGCACAGAGAGCUUGCUCUCGGGUGACGAGUGGCGGACGGGUGAGUAAUGUCUGGGAAACUGCCUGAUGGAGGGGGAUAACUACUGGAAACGGUGGCUAAUACCGCAUAACGUCGCAAGACCAAAGAGGGGGACCUUCGGGCCUCUUGCCAUCAGAUGUGCCCAGAUGGGAUUAGCUUGUUGGUGAGGUAACGGCUCACCAAGGCGACGAUCCCUAGCUGGUCUGAGAGGAUGACCAGCCACACUGGAACUGAGACACGGUCCAGACUCCUACGGGAGGCAGCAGUGGGGAAUAUUGCACAAUGGGCGCAAGCCUGAUGCAGCCAUGCCGCGUGUAUGAAGAAGGCCUUCGGGUUGUAAAGUACUUUCAGCGGGGAGGAAGGUGUUGUGGUU
This 464-nucleotide ribosomal RNA is filed under the name Salmonella enterica subsp. enterica serovar Moscow str. SA20061414. RNAcentral's name for it is "bacterial SSU rRNA". It matches the Rfam family "Bacterial small subunit ribosomal RNA", at positions 1 to 461 of the family's 1533-position model. Lineage: Bacteria; Pseudomonadati; Pseudomonadota; Gammaproteobacteria; Enterobacterales; Enterobacteriaceae. The record is from RNAcentral.